ACUCAAAUGAAUAGACGGGGGCCCGCACAAGCGGUGGAGCAUGUUGUUUAAUACGUCACUAACCGUAGAACCUUACCAGGGUUUGACAUCCGCUGCUAUGCUAUGAAAGUAGCCUUCCCGCAAGGGACAGCGAGACAGGUGUUGCAUGGCUGUCGUCAGCUCGUGUCGUGAGAUGUUGGGUUAAGUCCCGCAACGAGCGCAACCCUCAUCCCAUGUUGCCAUCGGGUGAAGCCGGGAACUCUUGGGAAACUGCCGGGGUAACUCGGAGGAAGGUGAGGACGACGUCAAGUCAGCAUGGCCCUUACAUCCUGGGCUACAAACAUGCUACAAUGGACGGUACACAGACCGACCCAAGCCCGUGAGGGGGAGGCAAUCGGACAAAUCCGUUCUCAGUUCGGAUCGCAGGCUGCAACUCGCCUGCGUGAAGCUGGAAUCGCUAGUAACCGCAGGUCAGCUAAACUGCGGUGAAUACGUUCCCGGGCCUUGUACACACCGCCCGU
RNAcentral lists this ribosomal RNA (500 nucleotides) under uncultured bacterium. Its description in RNAcentral is "partial 16S ribosomal RNA". It matches the Rfam family "Bacterial small subunit ribosomal RNA", at positions 899 to 1397 of the family's 1533-position model. The record is from RNAcentral.